CCAUUCCAGGGAUGGCCCCACCCAUUCCCAGGAAGUACCUCCCACUGGCUCAAGAGGUCCUUGGUAGAUGAGAAGGUGCACAGCUGGGUGGAGGAGCCGAUGACAACUCUGGGCAGGCCGCCCACGGCCCCACGCCACAACCCCACUAGACCAUGUUUCUGGCCAAUCUCGCAAUUUCAGAGGCUGCCUGUGCCUGUAGGUGUGUCUUCACCUGGAGACAAGAAAGCAUCACAGCCUGGGUCCCAGGGGUCACCUUCCCACCACCGAGACCAGAACGCCAAAGCCCUCGCUCACACUUCCUCUAGGGUAUUAAGCAACCAAUAUAUUCUUUUAAUCUGAUGUGGCAACAAUGACUACUUGACAAAGCCAGGAAGUCUGAUUCAAAGUUCAGUUGUAGGCAGCCUAGGAUGCAUACCUGUUAACUGAAGCACUGAGAAAGCUGAGGUUGGACUGCAGUUAGAAGCCAGGCUGUGCUACAGAGGAACUUUCGAUUCUGUGAUAUAGGAAGGCCCUGCCUCAACAAACAAACGACACCCCAACUCAAAGGCAUUCUCCAGCAGCUAAAUCUGUAAUCUUUAACAACACACAUUGCAGAGGCUGUUGGGUGGCUGUGUAUAAGGCAAGUCAGAAGGCCUUGAAGCUUGCCAGCACUUUCCUGUGCCUUUUUCUGCUUAUGGGGCCCAGCACCCUGUCACCGAUGCCCUUGUAAAAGGCAGGCUCCCACCCUCUCCCAAUAGUCUUUUCUGGAGCCCCCAGACCAGACCCCU
This is a long non-coding RNA of Mastomys coucha (southern multimammate mouse), 767 nucleotides long. RefSeq lists it as uncharacterized. The record is from RefSeq and is a predicted model, not a curated record. The transcript is spliced from 3 exons. NCBI's taxonomy places the organism in Eukaryota, Metazoa, Chordata, Mammalia, Rodentia, Muridae.